AUGGUUCCAGAGGGAGAGUCCAUAACGGCAGGAGAGGCAUGCCCCCUGGUGGCCAAAGCAAGAAGCUCACAGAUCAUAUUUCUUCACACAGGAAUCUGGCAGAGUGAAGUGGAAUGGGCCAAGGCUGUACACCCCCGAUGCCUGCUCUCAAUGACAUGCUUCCUCCAGCAAGGCUAUACCCAGGGUCAGUGGCUAUUUUUAGCCAUUGUUCUCCCCAGUGGGGUUAUCCUCAGAGAAUCCUUACUGCCCGGGCUCCCCUUUCAUAAGUUUCUCCGGGGUAUCUGCAUCUCCUCCCCCUGCCUCCCCCUUUCAGUUUGAGGAGAACAGUCCAUCGUCAUAUGACAACAGGAACAUGAGGCAACUGGUGACAGUGGCCUCCGCCCCUGCCCCAUGGCCUCCACUCCUGGCUGUGACCGGCAGACAGAGCUUUAUAGAAAGGUCUCAUGGAAGCAGAUGCUGAAUGCUCAGCCCGCAUCCCCUCAAGACCGGAGAGG
This 494-nucleotide long non-coding RNA is filed under the name Cricetulus griseus (Chinese hamster). RNAcentral's name for it is "lncRNA (ENSCGRG00000026598.1)". The record is from RNAcentral. Lineage: Eukaryota; Metazoa; Chordata; Mammalia; Rodentia; Cricetidae.